RNAcentral lists this ribosomal RNA (1256 nucleotides) under Bacillus sp. S1-13. Its description in RNAcentral is "bacterial SSU rRNA". It matches the Rfam family "Bacterial small subunit ribosomal RNA", at positions 114 to 1358 of the family's 1533-position model. The record is from RNAcentral. Lineage: Bacteria; Bacillati; Bacillota; Bacilli; Caryophanales; Bacillaceae.
CACGUGGGUAACCUGCCUGUAAGACUGGGAUAACUCCGGGAAACCGGGGCUAAUACCGGAUGGUUGUCUGAACCGCAUGGUUCAGACAUAAAAGGUGGCUUCGGCUACCACUUACAGAUGGACCCGCGGCGCAUUAGCUAGUUGGUGAGGUAACGGCUCACCAAGGCGACGAUGCGUAGCCGACCUGAGAGGGUGAUCGGCCACACUGGGACUGAGACACGGCCCAGACUCCUACGGGAGGCAGCAGUAGGGAAUCUUCCGCAAUGGACGAAAGUCUGACGGAGCAACGCCGCGUGAGUGAUGAAGGUUUUCGGAUCGUAAAGCUCUGUUGUUAGGGAAGAACAAGUGCCGUUCAAAUAGGGCGGCACCUUGACGGUACCUAACCAGAAAGCCACGGCUAACUACGUGCCAGCAGCCGCGGUAAUACGUAGGUGGCAAGCGUUGUCCGGAAUUAUUGGGCGUAAAGGGCUCGCAGGCGGUUUCUUAAGUCUGAUGUGAAAGCCCCCGGCUCAACCGGGGAGGGUCAUUGGAAACUGGGGAACUUGAGUGCAGAAGAGGAGAGUGGAAUCCACGUGAGCGUGAAAAUGCGUAGAGAUGUGGAGGAACACCAGUGGCGAAGGCGACUCUCUGGUCUGUAACUGACGCUGAGGAGCGAAAGCGUGGGGAGCGAACAGGAUUAGAUACCCUGGUAGUCCACGCCGUAAACGAUGAGUGCUAAGUGUUAGGGGGUUUCCGCCCCUUAGUGCUGCAGCUAACGCAUUAAGCACUCCGCCUGGGGAGUACGGUCGCAAGACUGAAACUCAAAGGAAUUGACGGGGGCCCGCACAAGCGGUGGAGCAUGUGGUUUAAUUCGAAGCAACGCGAAGAACCUUACCAGGUCUUGACAUCCUCUGACAAUCCUAGAGAUAGGACGUCCCCUUCGGGGGCAGAGUGACAGGUGGUGCAUGGUUGUCGUCAGCUCGUGUCGUGAGAUGUUGGGUUAAGUCCCGCAACGAGCGCAACCCUUGAUCUUAGUUGCCAGCAUUCAGUUGGGCACUCUAAGGUGACUGCCGGUGACAAACCGGAGGAAGGUGGGGAUGACGUCAAAUCAUCAUGCCCCUUAUGACCUGGGCUACACACGUGCUACAAUGGACAGAACAAAGGGCAGCGAAACCGCGAGGUUAAGCCAAUCCCACAAAUCUGUUCUCAGUUCGGAUCGCAGUCUGCAACUCGACUGCGUGAAGCUGGAAUCGCUAGUAAUCGCGGAUCAGCAUGCC